UACGUAGGGUGCAAGCGUUGUCCGGAAUUAUUGGGCGUAAAGAGCUCGUAGGCGGUCUGUCGCGUCUGCUGUGAAAACUCGGGGCUUAACCCCGGGCCUGCAGUGGGUACGGGCAGACUAGAGUGCGGUAGGGGAGACUGGAAUUCCUGGUGUAGCGGUGAAAUGCGCAGAUAUCAGGAGGAACACCGGUGGCGAAGGCGGGUCUCUGGGCCGAUACUGACACUGAGAAGCGAAAGCAUGGGGAGCGAACAGG
This 253-nucleotide ribosomal RNA is filed under the name uncultured bacterium. RNAcentral describes it as "partial 16S ribosomal RNA". It matches the Rfam family "Bacterial small subunit ribosomal RNA", at positions 524 to 776 of the family's 1533-position model. The record is from RNAcentral.